This 778-nucleotide ribosomal RNA is filed under the name uncultured Neocallimastigales. RNAcentral describes it as "partial large subunit ribosomal RNA". It matches the Rfam family "Eukaryotic large subunit ribosomal RNA", at positions 22 to 628 of the family's 3401-position model. The record is from RNAcentral. Lineage: Eukaryota; Fungi; Neocallimastigomycota; Neocallimastigomycetes; Neocallimastigales.
CGUCUAUAUACGCAUAGCAUAUCAAUAAGCGGAGGAAAAGAAACUAACUAGGAUUCCCUCAGUAACGGCGAGUGAAGCGGGAAGAGCUCAAAUUUGAAAUCUUCAAGGUUCUACCUUGACGAAUUGUAGUUUAAAGAAGUGUUUUCUGUUGGAGUUUUGGUAAAAGUUCUUUGGAAUAGGACAUCAUAGAGGGUGAGAAUCCCGUAUUUGACCAUUAUUUUCAACUGUGUGAUACACUUUCAAAGAGUCGGAUUGUUUGGGAAUGCAGUCCAAAAUGGGUGGUAAAUUUCAUCUAAAGCUAAAUAUUGGCGAGAGACCGAUAGCGAACAAGUACCGUGAGGGAAAGAUGAAAAGAACUUUGAAAAGAGAGUUAAACAGUACGUGAAAUUGUCAAAAGGGAAGCGUUUGACACCAGUGUUGUUUUCUCGAAAAUCAAUUAAAAAUGGUGGGAUUUUGUGUUGUAUUGACUUUAUCAGCUUUCUGCACUUUUUUCCUAUCUUUUUUAAUGCACUUUUCGUUUAACAAGUCAACAUCAAUUUCUUUUGUUGUAAAAGAGUCAUUGGAAGGUGGCUUUCACUUUCGGUGAAAGUGUUUAUAGCCUUUGACUUCUGCAAUCGGAGAGAUUGAGGUCUGCAGCGUAGAUCCUUCGGGGUUAGAUACAUUUGUGCUAAGUUAUAGCCUUUUCAUAGACAACAUUGUUGACUAUGAUUCAGUCAUGUAGCUUACUCGCUUAUGUUAUUUUACCUACGCUUAGGAUGUUGACGAUCAGCUGAGCGCG